UGGGUGAAUAAUUUAAGGUUCAGAGAGAACAGAAUCAGACACUUUGGAGAUGGGACUAUUGGAAGAAUUUUGCCAAUGCCUUUCAUCACAUAUAGUUAUUUGUGGGGCACAUUAGUAUACAAUGAAGUUAUCAUAUACCCUCUGUUGUAUUCAGUAACCAAGUUGAUGAUCUUAUAAUAGCAAAGAUUGGGCAUUGGGUUCAUCAUUAAUAUAGACAAAGAUAUCCUUCUGCUAUGUUGCAGUGGGCAGGAAACCAUAUGAAUCCUUUAGAACAAUGAUGAUAUUACUGUUGGACAACGUUCCCCUUGCCAAUCAGAGCAUACACCUUUGAAGAAUCAGAAUGGCUUAACAUCACAGAAAAUUAAUUAUAUUGUUCUUUUUUUUUUCAUUGCAAAGCAAAAGAUUUUCCCUCACUAGAGUUGACACCUAUUCAGGACAUUCAGUUACAGUGUUAGUUUAGUUUUCUACUUGGCAACUACAAUUAAAGCCCCUAUCUUUCUUCCUUAUGCUCCCUCCCUUUAGCCCUCCCCAAAACCAUUGCCUCUAAUCAAGAUAUUUAUUUUACUUCCAGAAAGGAUUGAGAUUGGGCCCAACACAUUUACUGGGGUUUUCAUUUCCAUGCUAUUCUAAGGCAGUUGGUACUGUGGAAUGUUGAAAUAGACUUUUAUAGAAUAAUAGCUGUAUCAUAAUAUAAUUCAUUACCUUUUUUGUUUGUUUUUGUUCUAUCACAGAAUGGUAACUUUGAUCAAUCAUUACUAUCCAUGAAAGAGGGGUGCUCCAAAACAAUUUCUUAAUUUCAGCCUGAUUGGGAGGAGCAUAUAGUCCCAAAUGACCCUCUCCAGUCUUUUUUUUUUUUUGUCCCAUAUGAAGUUUCCUAUGUGAUCACCCAGAUCUAGAAGAAUCUGCCUCCCAUUUCCACCCCACAGGGGAUUCUAUAAAUUCAAGGAGGGAGGUCAUGCAGUUUUCUUUUCUUUCAGGAUAUUUUGGAUAGUUCAUGCCCAGAAAGGGUUGUGGGGAUUAAAGGGUAGAAUUACUAGAGGAGGCUUUACUUUUUAAUGAUAGAGAAUGUAAAACUGUCUUUUUACAACCAUGAUAAGGAAUUCAUUUAGAAAAAUGAGAUCCUUUGGCUAAUUUGGUAUUAAUUUUGAAGGCAGUCUUUACCCAUUGCCCAAGGAGGAACGAAGUAGUCCCUCAGGUAAAAGGGUCUAAAGAAGCCACAAUUUGGUAGCAUCCUCUUGAAGUAGCUCCUACGUUAUGCAUUAGGGAACAUCAAAUAAGUGUUCAAGAGGGUGCAUGGGAGUGAGCCCUGUCAUAGAGUGCAUGCAAAAAGCCUAUGACCACUUAUUUUGAUUUAGGUGAUUCAGAUCUGUGAUGUAGAAUAGUGAUAGCUUGAGAGGAAUCUUCAGUUUUUUUGAUGGACUUAAUGUUCCUGGUACUAUUUCUGGCUAUCACAAGUGUUUUGGCUUUAGAAAAUUUUUAUGAACUGCCCCUGAUUUUUUUUUUUUUUUUUGCCCUGCUUCUUCCAUCUUUAAAGAAGAUUAUUUAUAUGAUUUUGUAUUUUCAUGAUUUGCAAUGCCUUUCUAGUUCUUAGAAUUGUUUUAAAAUUAUUUUAAUAGUAGAAAGUUUCUAUGAAAAUUUUUGGGACCUUACUACCAAGAAUUGCUGUGUUAUAAGAAAAUGUAUGAUUUUAUGUGGAUGGUGUACGCAACACUGGGGACUUCUAUUAGGGAGGAACAAUUAGAUUUCAUUGGUGAGAGCAGGGUUGUUUUUGUGCCUGUUACAUAUUAUAUCUGGAGCCCCUCUGCUUUCUUUCCUUUUCAUUCCCACUUCCCUAAUUCCUUUUUCAUUUCUUAGUGGUACUAUCCAUCACUUGCUGCUCAGGUAGAAUGUAAACUGGGAUGUGUUGAAAAAGUCACUUGAAAUAUAAAAGGCUUAUAAGGAGAAUGAUUGCUUCUCCUGAGUUUCAACUGCUUGUAGCUUUCUGGAGUUCCUGACUUUGUAUGGGGAGUAGCAUUCUUUUAAUUUUUGAAGUGUGUUCUUUUAAUUCUUAAUUAGUUGUUUUUCUUAACUACAGUUGUUUGUUCCACUAAAUAUUUCAUUGUAUCUUCUUUAAGCAUGAACUAUUAUGUUAUCUAGUUUGGGCCUGACCUAGAAUAAGAGACCCUAUAAUGUUAAUGGCUCUUUAGCAUCCCUCCUCAAACAUGCUUUGGCUACAGGAACUCCAUACGUGUGUUCUGGCUAUGUGUGUUCCUUAUGAUUAUGAUUCUCAACUUAUAACCUCUAUGAGGACCUCUUUCCCAUGGUGCUAUUUGUUUUUGUGGGAGAGUGUCCCCUAGGAUUAAAAGGAAAGAUUUAUUUUGGGGAGUAGAGUGGGAUGGGAUUGCUACUUUUCUUACUAUGUUAUUUCAGUAAAUGCCUUUGCUUUGAGGUAAUUGUGUUCUCUGCUGUGGAGACCCCUGAGCUAUAUUUUUAGGGGUUCAGACCCACAGAACCCCUUAAAUCUGGGGAUACUACCGCAUAGAGAACCCAUUUCAAAAUCCAGGGGAUGCUUUGGGACACUACAAAUAUAAACUCAAUUUUUUACAAUAUAAUUUGAAAAUUCGUAUUCAAAUAAAUCAUGCCUGAUUUAAUUCAUAUAUUUUCUUUUUCUGUGGAGUCAUAAUUUAGUUUCUUUUCUGCUAAUCUCAUAAACAAGAAAGUUUUUUCUUCUCAGCAAUUAGUACAAUCUUUACUAUAUUCUGACUAAAUGGUCCAGGAGAAAGAAAAGACCUUACUUAAAUAGGGAAAAAUUCUGUUUUCUUAAAAAAAUUUUUUUUUCCUGAUUUUUAGGCCACCAGUUGCUGAGAUCGUUUAAUUAAAUGGAGCUCUUAAAGCCAUAACAGUAGUUGACACUGCUGAAAUCUUCUUCUGAGGCCUUCAUUUUAGUCUCCAAGAGAUGGGCAGGGGUUAUUUAAAGCCCUUUGACAGAUGAGUAUACUGAAGUACUGGGCAAUUCACCUCCUGUUGUGGCAAAACAAAUGGAUGUUGAACUGGGCCUCCAGAUCCACAGUCUAGCGAGAUGCCUCAGAGGAUGGCGGCCUGUAAAACGAUGCUGCUCUGGACAGCAAGCAGUGGCUCCAAUAGCCUGGGCUAUGUGUCAGGCUAGAGUUCCCUGAGGUGUCGGGGGCAGCAGCAGCAGCAGCAGCAGCCGCCGGAGCCGAGGGUGGAGUCCCCGAGUCCCCUCAGGAGAGAAGCAGCAGCGGCAGCAGCAGCAGCAAAGGGGUUCAGCAGCAGCAGCAGCAGCAGACCAUUGAUCGGAUCGUCUGGAGCCUGAGGGCCUCUCUGGAGCUGUACGCCGCGGCGUCUCACCAGAGCAGCGACCAGGACUCGGUCCGAAGCAGGAACCGCACGGCCACGGCCGGAGGUGGACCCGGGGCUCUCCCGCAGCCUCACGAGUUGGGGGAGACGGAAGCGGAGAGGGAGCCGGAGCCGAAGACGGAUCUGGCCGGGCCCCGCGACAGAGACGAUCCCGGGCCCCGGAAGCUCCUGCAGAUGGCCGGCGGCUGCUCCUCCGUACAGGGCCCCGGCCGGGCCGGCCACCAGGCCCACGUCAUCGCCUCGGAGCAGCGCUUCGGCUUCCCGAGCGCCGGCGGGGGCUGCCCCCCGCGCACCGGACUGCACGGCUUCCAGGCUGCGCUGGCGGCGGAGGCGGAGGCGGAGGCGGAGGCGCAGCGCGAGCCCGAGCCGGAGCCGCAGCCCGAGCGCAAGCCGCAGCCCGAGUCCGAGCCCAGGGCCGAGCCGCGGCCGUCCGGCCCGCGGCUGGCCUGCUCCGCGCACGGGGAGCUCUUCCCGGCCCCUGCCUCCGCCUCCGCCUCCGCCUCCACCUCCACCUCCGCCUCCGCCUCCGCCUCCGCCCCGGCCCCGGCCCCGGCACCGUCCCCGGCCCCGGCCCCGCCGCCCCAGCGCUACUACACCAUAGACGAGGAGCCGGACGCGCUCUUCCACGAGAUCGUGCGCCAUGACCCGCGGUGCGAUGAGUCUCCGCCCGCUGUGCUCCUCGGCUCGCGGCCCCACCAGCGCAGCUCCAGCACCAGCACCAGUACCAGCUCCAGCUCUAGCACCAGCUCCAGCACCAGUCCUGCCGCCGCCGCCGCCGCCGCCGCCGCCGCGCGCGCCGCUGUCGCUGUCGGGCCGACGUGCGCAAGCAGUGGCAGAGGACACGGCAGCACAGCGACCCUGGCGCCCGUCCCCGUAGCGCAGCCGCAGCCCGAGCCCGCGUCUGUUUCCUUUUAAAACUGACUCCAAUCUUCCCAGCGCUGUUUAUUCUCUCUAAGGGGGUCAAUCGUCCCUGUACGCGCAGGAAAGGGGGGAAAACCCGUCUUUGCGGCCGUUUACACCUCGCUCGAUCAAAAGACAACUACCUAGCUAGAAACUUUUGCAGGGAUUCAAACCAAUUUUAGCUCUGGCAGGUUCUCAGGAUUCGGUUAAUUGUUUGAACUUUGCAUAUUUUCCCCUCUUUUCAGAACCAGGUAGCUGAGGCUUGUUUUCCUCCUUUCUUUUAAAAGCGCAUUUGUGUUGCUUACAUGCAAGGACCCUUCUUACAUUAAUGUGGGUAUAAAAUGCCCUCGCUUUUUAAAAAGCAGAUCCAUCUGGAGUUGUGCAGAUAUUUAAGGAAAGGAGGGGUAUCUUAAGUCUCUUACUCCCGUCAUCUCUCAUUCACCACUCAAAUCAGGAAGAUACAGGGGAAAUAACAGGCAGGAAUAGCUGGCAAAAACAACCAGAAAGGUAUAGUUGGAGGCAGGGGCGACAGAAAUGUCAGGCUGCUAGACAGAUAAAGCCAGGCAUUAGAAGCUUGCAAAUUCCUGGAUCAUCAGAUAACACCAAUAGACUACAGAGCUCUUGACUUUUAGAAAAAGCCAAUAGAAACCAAAAUCUUGAGGCUAAUCUUCAAAGGUCUAAUUUUUAAUCAGAGCCAAGCAAACCUUUCCCUUAUUGGGCAGCUAACAGGAAGGAAAAAGAUAUCUUCAAAUAAGACACACAAAUCAGGUGUUGACAAUAGAAGCUACAUUAAAACCGAGCAGCCUGGCCUGUUGAGAGGCUUAAAUCGGAAAAGCUAACCUUCAAUUCAGGACAACUGUCAGAAUUCACAUGAACCUUUUAAUCGAGCAAUUGACAUUAAUGUUCAGCUAUUAGGAUCCCUUCCAAAGAAUGUGUCAUCCAAGCCUUACUUUAGUUUUUGAUGUAUCUAGUGUUUUCUGAUGGGGCAAUGCAGGCAGGAAUCCAAGUCCUCAUUCAACACAGAGAUUUAAGUUCUUAGGUUGGGAGUCCCAGUGUAGGUGAAGGAAGAGGGUGGAUCUGGUCUCAUAAGGGACAGACACUUCACGAUCUAGGACAUAGCUCCAGAAAUUUAGAAGGAUUGAUUCUGUCUUAUGUGUGUUUUUCCUCUAAGAAAUUCUUUUUUCUUGUGACUUCAAAGAAAAAGCCAGAUCACUGAACAAUAUAAAGAGGGCUUUAUCCUAUUUUUUCCCCAGUUGAGAAAGGAUUAAUGAAGAGUCUUACAUUUAGAUUGAGAAAAUAAAAAUAAAUGAGUAUGUUGUAAAGUUGAAAGAUAAUGAGAGGUAGGACAGAGUAUUUGAUCGGAUAUGGAGAUAUUGGCAAGAAAUUUGGUGAUAGCAUAUGUGGUAGAUGUUUUCUAUUGUUCUCUCUAGAAGUUACCAAGUUUCCAUUGGGAACAUUUUUCAUAGGAGCAAUGUCUAGUCUACUUAUUACUUAUUCAUUAUUCAUUAUAGCAUUCUAAUCACUAAAAGUACACCAAGCAAAGGACAUGCCUGUUUCCAUAGAAUAUAAACUUAAUUGUUAAAUGUUAUAGAGGAUGAUAGAAGAUUUUGAAUUGUAUUACCUCCUAAAACAGAGAUGCUCUAUGGAAUGAAAACAAUUAUAACUCUGACCACAGGCAAGUUUGAUGGUCACCUAAAAAUGAACCCUCUAGGUUGUAUUGAGAAAAAUAAUUGAGAGACUUUUUUGGGGAGAGAAAAAGGGAAAGAUGAGAGAAGUCAAUGUGUAGACUUUGAAUGGUGAAUUGGAGAUUGUUAGAACCACAAAUAGGUGGGAGGAAGUUGGCAGUCCAAUAGUGUUUACUGACUCCAGAGCCUAGAACUUCAGAGACUAUUAAGAUUGUGUUCAGAGGAUGAGUUUAUUCUGUCUCUAAUUGAGCUGAAGUUUUAUCUCAUGCCUAAAUGACAAAGUUUCUUGAUUUUUUAUUCCCUGACCUUCAUUAUUAUUUUACUGCUUUGAUAAAUGUUUACUUGCUGUUUGUGAUUAUUUUUUUGUGUGAUAAACAUCUGGCAGAAAGGAAGAUAAACUUCCACAGAUUAAGUUGUUAGCCCUCCAGGUCUGAGUAGAACUUUUCUCCCCACUUCCUCCUCCAACUAUGAAGCUGAAUGACCAGGAAAAUGGACUUUAUCUUAAAAAUCUUUCUCCCCUAGGAAAAAUAAUUACCUCCAUAGAUUUCAAAAUCUGAUGUCUAAUAGUUGUUUCCAAGCCCCAGGUCAUCUCUUUCCCUUCCCCAUCUCCCCCUUGAAGAUAGGAGAGCAAGAGAAUAAUCAUUAAGCCAUAGCUUUUCUCCUAAUGCCUACAAAGGUGGAAUCCCAGUCUCCAAGACACGGAAUACAUCAUUUCUUAUCUAUCUAUAAUCCCUGUUAUAUAUAUGCUGCUUUGUUACUUAGCUUUUUAAUGCCACACAUUUGUGCCUACAGGAAAAUUUUUGCAUUGUUUCCAAGUUAUUUCUCUUGCAAGAAUUUUUCUUUUUUCAACUUUUUUUUUUUUUGAAUUCUCCUAAAGUUUUGGAGUUUUGGUGAUGAUUCUGAAGUUGGAUUCUAUUUCAGACUUUUUCAUUGCUUUUUUUUCUGAAAGUGCUUUAGUUAUGAUUUCAAUUAGAAUAGACAGGCCACAGGCUUUCAAGAAUUUAUCUAUUUAUUUAAUUACUUAUCUAUUUUUAGACUAGACCUUCCUAUUUCACCCAGACUGAAAGUGCAGCAGGUUUAUCUUAUUGUUGAUUGGCACUGGAAAAUUUUUUUUUUAUUAAAGCUUUUUAUUUGCAAAAUAUAUGUAGGGAUAAUUUUUCAACAUUGACCUUUGUAAAACCUUGUGUUCCAAAUUUUUCCCUACCUUCCUUUCAUCCUCUUCCCUAGAUCCCCUUCCAAUCAAAGCUAAACAUGUGCAGUUCUUCUAUACAUAUUUUCACAAUUAUCUUGCUGCACAAGAAAAAUCAGAUCAAAAAGGAAAAAAGUGAGAAAGAAAAUAAAAUGCAAACAACAACAAAAAGAGUGAAAAUACUAUAUUGUGAUCCUCAAUAAGUUUCCAUAGUCCUCUCCCUGAGUGUAGAUGGCUCUGGUCAACAUAACAUCAUUGGAACUGGUCUGAAUCAUCUCAUUGUUAAAAGGAGCCAUGUCCAUCAGAAUUGUUCAUUGUAUAUUCUUCUUGUUGCCAUGUACAAUGAUCUCCUGGUCCUGCCCACUUCACUUAGCAUCAGUUCAUGUAAGUCUCUCCAGGCCUCUCUGAAAUUAUCCUGCUGAUUGUUUCUCAUAGAACAGUAAUAUUCCAAUAAUAAUUCCAUAACAGCCAUUCUCCAACUGAUGGACAUCCAUUUAGUUUCCAGUUCCUUGUCACUACAAAAAGGGCUGCUACAAACAUUUUUGCACAUAUAGGUCCCUUUCCCUCCUUUAUAAUCUCUUUGGGAUAUAAGCCUAGUAGUAACACUGCUGGAUCAAAGAGUACGCACAGUUUGAUAACUUUUUGAGCAUAGUUCCAAAUUGCUCUCCAGAAUGUUUGAAUCACUUCACAACUCCACCAACAAUGUAUUAGUAUUCCAGUUUUCCCACACCCCUUCCAACAUUUGUCAUUAUCUUUUCCUGUCAUUUUAGCCAAUCUGAGAAAUGUAUAGUGGUACCUCAAAAUUGUCUUCAUUUGUAUUUCUCUGAUCAAUAGUGAUUUAGAGCACCUUUUCAUAUGACUAGAAAUGGUUUUAAUUUCUUCAUCUGAGAAUUGUCUGUUUGUAUACUUUGACCACUUAUUAAUUGGAGAAUGGUUUGACUUCUUAUCAGAGUCUCUUCUCUAUAUAUUUUAGAAAUGAUGUCUUUAUCAGAACCCUUAAAUGUAAAAAUUUUUUCCCAAUUUAUUGUUUCCCUUCUAAUCUUG
Sarcophilus harrisii (Tasmanian devil) is the source of this 8175-nucleotide long non-coding RNA. The record is from Ensembl. Lineage: Eukaryota; Metazoa; Chordata; Mammalia; Dasyuromorphia; Dasyuridae.